RNAcentral lists this non-coding RNA (28 nucleotides) under Drosophila melanogaster (fruit fly). Lineage: Eukaryota; Metazoa; Arthropoda; Insecta; Diptera; Drosophilidae. The record is from RNAcentral.
UGAUAGUUCAAAGACCCCAUAUGAGAUG